UAACCUGCCCAAGAGAUCGGGAUAACACCUGGAAACAGAUGCUAAUACCGGAUAACAACAGAUGAUGCCUAUCAACUGUUUAAAAAGAUGGUUCUGCUAUCACUCUUGGAUGGACCUGCGGUGCAUUAGCUAGUUGGUAGGGUAACGGCCUACCAAGGCGAUGAUGCAUAGCCGAGUUGAGAGACUGAUCGGCCACAUUGGGACUGAGACACGGCCCAAACUCCUACGGGAGGCAGCAGUC
This 241-nucleotide ribosomal RNA is filed under the name uncultured Lactobacillus sp. RNAcentral describes it as "partial 16S ribosomal RNA". It matches the Rfam family "Bacterial small subunit ribosomal RNA", at positions 122 to 355 of the family's 1533-position model. The record is from RNAcentral. Lineage: Bacteria; Bacillati; Bacillota; Bacilli; Lactobacillales; Lactobacillaceae.